RNAcentral lists this ribosomal RNA (504 nucleotides) under Triticum aestivum (bread wheat). RNAcentral's name for it is "partial small subunit ribosomal RNA". Lineage: Eukaryota; Viridiplantae; Streptophyta; Magnoliopsida; Poales; Poaceae. The record is from RNAcentral.
AUGAAUGGUUGGGCAGAGCGGCUACUAGCUUGUGCUGGGAGGGAAACGCUUAUUAAAUCAGUGAUCCAGGCCAUCCCAACUUUCAGUAUGAGCUGUUUCCGUCUGACAAAGAAGGUAUGCAAAGGCCUCAUUGCUAGUAUGGCAAAAUUCUGGUGGAGUGGAUCUCUUGAUCAACGAUCUAUGCAUUGGCUAUCUUGGGAGAAACUUGCAUCACCAAAGUGUCGGGGUGGAAUGGGCUUUCCCGAUCUUGAAUUAUUCAACUUGGCACUACUUGGUAAGCAUGGAUGGAGGUUUAUUAAAAACCCUAACUCUUUAUGUGCCCAAGUGAUGAAGGGGCGCUAUUUCUGGACUGUGAUUUCAUGGAGGCUUCAGUACCACAAACAUCAUCAGCUAUUUGGCGAGCAAUCAUCGCCGGGAGGGAAGCUCUCCGUGUUGGUCUUCUUAAGAGGGUGGGGGACGGCUCAAGAGCUUGGGAUUUUGAAAGAAGUGGCAACUACUCCGUAA